GUAAGAAGCACUCGUCAGGCCCAAACAGUGCCAGCACAAGGUGAACAACUGGCCGCAUCAUUUAUGUUUCCGAUAACUACAUGGUAAAAAGAGCAGCGUAGCUACGACUGGGUGGAGCUUGGCUCUGACUGCAGGGGAUUCCUCAGCUGUAAAACUUACGUCACAACCAGUAUUUAAGCCGGCACCGCUAUCUAUAGUUCAAACCUGUUCCUUCUUGACAAGCCACAACCACAGAGCUUCGCAAGCGCAAACAGGAAGAGAACCAACUGGGACUAUAAAGCAAAUUUCUUCUCUUCUCCCUCACAGACAGAAGCAUUAUGGCAAUGGUUCCCCACGAUCUGAGCACUGUUGUUGUUCACUGUGCUCUCGAGCUUCGCCAGGCUGGAGACGAGCUCUACUGGAGAUACAAGCUGCUUGAAAUACUGAUCAGGAACUACAAGACUAUGACUAAGAUCAGAUGAGACAUGGAGUCGGUGGACGUCAACGUGAAUCGGAUAUUGCUCGACUCAAAUUCUAUCCGGAGAAACUUCUCGGAUACAAAAUAACCCCGGGUGGCAAAAUGGUGGCCCUUAAGUGGGAUGUACAUACGCUUGUGGACACGCCCCAACCGGCUUGCCGUUCGGUUGACCCGUGUCCUGUACAGGAGCUGAGCCCAGCUGUGUGGAAUGCUGCUGAACCAGAGGCACUCACACAUUCAGCCUGGACCAGGGAGGAACCUCUAGAUGCAAGUUAACCACUGCAGAUUGUCACAUGUCCUCUGUACACGUGACUGUAUAUGGCGUCUCUCAUGCAUGUCAUGCACUCUGACACUGUCACAUCAUGUUCACUGUGACUUGAGCAUAUGUUUUAGAUGUUGAUCUUCGGGGAAGUGUUUCAUGAGCUUCUAAUAAAUAUAUGAAAAUCA
Molecule: long non-coding RNA, 904 nt
Organism: Pleuronectes platessa (European plaice)
Lineage: Eukaryota; Metazoa; Chordata; Actinopteri; Pleuronectiformes; Pleuronectidae
Exons: 2
Source: RefSeq, a predicted model, not a curated record